RNAcentral lists this small nuclear RNA (162 nucleotides) under Cebus imitator (Panamanian white-faced capuchin). RNAcentral describes it as "U1 spliceosomal RNA (ENSCCAG00000031827.1)". It matches the Rfam family "U1 spliceosomal RNA". From Rfam's summary of the family: U1 is a small nuclear RNA (snRNA) component of the spliceosome (involved in pre-mRNA splicing). Its 5' end forms complementary base pairs with the 5' splice junction, thus defining the 5' donor site of an intron. The record is from RNAcentral. Lineage: Eukaryota; Metazoa; Chordata; Mammalia; Primates; Cebidae.
AGAACAACCUGUCAGGAGAGAUCCCAUGACCAUGAAGGUGGUUUUCCCAGGGCUAGGCUUAUCCAUCGUACUGCAGAUGUGCUGACACCUGUCAUUUUCCCAAAUGUGGGAAACUGGACUGCAUAAUUUGUGGUAGUGGGGGACUAUGUUCAUGUUCUGUCC